Molecule: ribosomal RNA, 372 nt
Filed under: Triticum aestivum (bread wheat)
Lineage: Eukaryota; Viridiplantae; Streptophyta; Magnoliopsida; Poales; Poaceae
Description: partial small subunit ribosomal RNA
Source: RNAcentral
AUGUUAGAAGUUGCAAAUGGCAAGAAAGAGAUAUUGCAUUCGGUUGACCGAUGUAUGUCUUCAUUGACCAAUCUAAUACUGAACCUAGAGUACCCAGAGACAUCAUAUGCUAGGCGCAUUCCCAUUGUACCGGUGGGCAUCAAGGAGAAAAGGAACCAAAAGUCCCCUCUUAGAGUCAUGAAGCUAAGAUGCUGCAACUUAUUCUUUGGGUCAGGUGCACUAGAGCCGUGGGACUAUUUUGUACACCUUCAAGAUUUGGAAAUUGAUAGAUGCGCUAUGUUUGUCCACUGGCCGGAGGAAGUGUUCCAAAGCUUGGCAUCCUUGAGGAGAUUAGUGAUUACACGCUGUUCACGUUUGACUGGAUAUGCAUGA